UCAAAUUCAAUAUGAAUCCAUAUUUAUACCAAAAAGAACAUCUCAAUGAUUAAUCAAGAAGCAUAUAAAAAUAAAGCAUGCAAUUAAUUCAAAGAGUCAUAUUCAUUCUAAGAAUUCAGAAAAAUAUCAUCCAAAUAUAAAUUAUCCAAAUAUUAAACAACCAUCAUCCGUAAUCCACAAUUAAAACAAUUAUGCAUAUGAAAAUAUAGGUGCAUAAUACAACCAUCCACCAUUGUUGGAACAAAAACAAGCUUAAAGAUCCAAUUUCGGGUUUACAAAAAUUGAGUGAAAUGGAUUUGUUUGAGCCAAGAAAAUCGAUCCUAGAGAUGAAUGAAGCUAAUAGAUGAUGUAGAUUGGAUCAAAAAUGGGCUAAAGGAAGCUUGAAAAUAUAGAGAGAGAAACGGGUAGUUAGGUUUUUGAUUUUGGGUUUUAUGUGGAGAGAUGAUGAAAUCAAGUUUUGAGAGUGAAAAUUGAAAGAGUAAUGGAUGAAUAAUGAGUUGGAUGAUUGAUUUUAACAAGAAAAUGAGUGAAAGAUGAAGAGAUUUGAGAAAGAAAAAUGGAGAACACUAUUCACGCGGGAAUGGAAUGAGGAUGGAAUGAUGGAGAACAAGUGAAGAAAUCAUGAUGGAGAAGUGUUUAAUGAAGAUGAAAUGCAUGGGUAUUAGUUUAAAUGGUUGAUUUGGGCAUGAAAAUGGAUGAAAAAUGAAGAAAAUGGAGGUGAAAAUGGAUGGGUAGCUCACGGUUUUGAGGGAAGGAGAGAACAUGUGCAGAAAGCUCACGAGAGAGGAAGAAGAUGAAUAGCACAAAAGCUCACGAAUCCGGCUUGCCGAAUUUCAUUACUGGCUAGCCGGUUAUAGGGCAGUAACUUGAAAAACCGAAAACGGUCUGCCGGAUUUGAGAUCCGGUUGACCGGAUAUGAACCCGAGAACAACAAGCAAGAAUUCGGCUUCCCGGUUUUGAUAACCGGUAGACCGGUUGUGAGGCAGUGAGUUCCCUUUCAAAUUCAGUUUUUCGGAUUGAAGAACUGGUUAUCCGGAAUUUGUCCCGAGAGAAAUCAAUUAGAAAAAAAUGUUUUUCCGGAUGAAUGGAAAAGGAAUAUUUGCUUGCUCUUAUACUUGUACUACACACACCAUUUUAUUUCCGGCCUUAAAAAUUGAUUAAUUUUAAAUCAUUUUGAGAUUUAAAACUUUUCAAUAAGCCAUUUAAUGCAUGAGACAUAAAUGCAUACAGGACCAAACAUAUGAAAUCGUAUCAAACAAUGAUGUCAAUUUUAUAAGUGAAUGAUGAUAUAACACAAUUAACGACACAAGAAUUCAUGCAUAUAAUUCAUUCAUCACAGUCAUGAAACACUAAGCAUCCAACAAGCAUACAAUCAUGAAGCAUAUAAGCAUUCAAAACUUAAGAACAUGCAGAAAGGUCAAUUUCAAAAUAAAAAAUGUAUUGAUUGAGCUAGAAUUAAUGUGCAAGCUAUAUACCGUUGGAAAUAUAAUUAAGUUAACUUUCCAAUAAAUUUUACAGAGCUUGAUUUAGAGUUCUCUAGAAGAAGUUAUGACCAAUUCAUUACAGCCUGUGCAGACUCAGGAUAAAAUGCAGAAAUGUCAAAUUCGGAAUAAAAACUGUAUUGAUUGAGCAAGAAGUAAUGUGCAUGCUAUAUACCAUUGGAAAGAUAAUUGAGUUAGAUUUCCAAUAAAUUUUACAGAGCUGGAUUUGGAGUUCUCUAAAAGAAGUUAUGACCGAUUCAUUUCAGCAUGUGCAGACUCAGGAUUUUCAACGACCAUUUGAUUUCCAAACAAUUUUAAUAGAUUCAAUAACAUAAAUAGAGAUGUUAAUGCGAAAAUUUCAUCAUCCCAAGUUCAUGCCAAAUUUUUGAAAAUUGUUCUUCGUAAUAAUUAAACAUAUAAGCAUUCGAAAGUUAAUAAAUCAAACACACCACUUAACUAUCAUGCUUAAACACUUCAUAAACAUUAACAUCAAACAAAUCCAUCAUGAUAAAUCACUCAAUAUUACACACAAUGAUAAUUCCAUCAUGUAAACAUACAAGCAUACUUUCACAAAUUCAAGCUACUAUCCAUUUAUCAUGAUCCACUCAACAUGAUACCAAAUGAAUUAUUAAAUACUUACUAAGCUUAAAAGACCAUCACUCAUAAUCAAUAAGGCAAUAAUUGUUACCAAAACAAUUAAACCAUCUUGCCUCAUUGUUUUUGCCUAGACCAUGAUCAUCCUCACAAGCUUCAUCAAGGGACUCUCCAUCCUUCCUUAUUUGUGGUACCUACAAAAAAUUAUUCAAGUUGUAUACUUUGGUACCCAAAUAUUCUUGGGUCCUUGAGUGUUAGCAAUGGUUCCUUUUGGAACCCAAAUACAUUUUGCUCCAUAAUACACAUUUCUUUUAAUAGGACAUCUAUUCUUCAUAUGACCAUUUUGAUUGCAAUAAUGACAUACAAUUUUAUGAUCACUUGUGGAGGUAGCCUUAACAAAAUAAUUCUUAUAAUAUUUUUGUUUCAAGUAAGGCUUAUACCCAAGUCCUACUUUAUCAAACACACAUUUUUGUGAAUUAAGCAUGUUAUCCAACAUCUUUUGCCCAUUUGUGAAUUUCAAAACAAUCUCAUUCAACUCAUUGCUCUUUUUCUUAAGCGUUUCAUUCUCAUUUUUCAAGUCAUUCAUGUGUGUCUCUAAGUGCUCAUGUGAAGUGCUAGAAUUCUCAAAUAAUGCAAUACUAUCGUGCAAUGUUUUAUUUUCUAAUUCUAGGCAUGUAAUCUUUGCACAUAGAGAUUCAUUUUCAUUUUUGAGCUCUACCAUUUUCUUUUUAAGACAAGCAUUCUUUUUACCAAUUUUUAUCCAAUUAUCAUGCAAUUCUUUAAAAGCAUCAUAUAAUUCAUCAUAAGUAAAAAGAUCAUUUACCUCAUCAAGAUCAUCAUCCGAUUCAUCUCCAAUUGCCAUGAGAGCUAGAUUUGUCAUUUCUUGAUGCUCUUCAUCAUCACUUGUUUCCUCAUCGCUAUCAUCCCAUGUGGCUACCAUUGCUUUCUUCUUGAGCUUGUUGAGAAGAGGACAUUCCGUUCUUAUAUGGCCAAGCUUCUUGCACUCAUAACAUUUGAUUAAUUCCUUCUUCUCCUUUCGGUUCUUGAGGUCUCUAAAUUUUCUUCGCUCACCGGAUUUCUUAAAAAGUUUUCUGAACCUCCUAGCCAGCAUAUCCAUCUCUUCCUCAUCCAGCUCGCUUUCCUCAUCACUCUCAUGUUUUGAGGCUUUGAGAGCAAUGUUUUUCUUCUUCUCCUCAUUGCCUCUUUCGGCUGCCAAGUCUUCCUCAUAAGAAAUAAGAGAGCCAAUUAAAUCAUCAAUAGGUAAUACAUUUAAAUCCUUGGCUUCCUCAAUGGCAGUCCUUUUUGGUCUCCAUUCCUUAGGAAGUGACCUAAUGAUUUUCUUGACUUUCUCGCUAUUUGAAAAAGUUUUCCCUAGGGCUCCUAGAGUGUUCACUAUGUCUGUAAAUCUAGUAUACAUAAAGUACACAUUUUCAUUUUGUUCCAUUUGGAACAAUUCGUAUUGUCGAGUGUAUCUACUUAUUUUAGAUUCUUUCACUUGGUUUGUGCCUUCAUAGACAACUUCAAGUUUGUGCCAAAUCUCAUUAGCACUUUCGCAACUAGACACUCUAUGAAACUCUUUCUUAUCUAAUGCACAAAACAAGGCAUUCAUGGCCUUGGAAUUUAGAGAAGCUUUUCUCUUUUCGAAUUCAUUCCAAUCCCGUGAAGGUUUUGGAAUAUCUUCUCCGACUUCAUUUUUAGUCAAAGGCAUGAAAGGACCAUCAUUAACGAUUUCCCAAAUUUCAUAAUCUAAGGCUUGCAAGUAAAUUCUCAUCCUAAUUUUCCAAUAUGGGUAAUCGUUUCCAUCAAAGUAAGGUGGUCUAAUUGUGGAUUGUCCUUCCCUAAAUGUUGAGUCAUAUUGGGUUGCCAUUGAUCUUUAGCUCUAGACGGUUAAGUCUAAACAAGAGCACCUCGCUCUGAUACCAAAUGAAAUAUAAGUAUGCAACCCAAGAGGGGGGGGUGAAUUGGAAUCUUAAAAAUUAUCCUAGCAAAUCCACACAACAAGCAAUCUAAUGCCUUAAUAAAUUUGAAAGCAAUAAAUUCAAUCAAAGCACAAUAAUUAAAGAGCAAGGGAAGAAAGAGCAAACUCAAGGAUUUUUACGUGGUUCGGCAAUCCCCGCCUACGUCCACGCCUCCAAGCACACCGGGCUUGAGGAUUUCACUAUCCAAACCUUUCCAAGGCUUCAAAGAUUACAAUUGACUUCGAGGUGUCAAUAAACCUUUACAACAAAGAGAUUAUCUCUCAAUCUCUUCACUCAAGUGUCUCACACACUCAAACUCUUACAAAUGAAAUAAAGAAAUGAAAGUUACAAUCAAACUCACUCAAUGAGUAGAUAUUCAAAGAUGAAGAAGAAUGAAUGAUUCAAUGAUUUUGUGUUUUGCAAGUUGUAAGCUCAAGAUAUCACGUGUGCCUUUUGUUUUUGCUUGUUGGAGAGCUUCAAAAAGAGUUGGAUUUGAGUUCUUAUAGCUUGAGCUCAAAAACUAGCCGUUACUCACAUUCUGGGCUAUCCGGUUUGCCGUUUAAUGGAAUCCGGUAAGCCGGAUUUAUGUUACCGUUAAGGCAAAUUUUGCCUAACCGGCUUGCCGGAUUCGGAAUCCGGUAAGCCGUUUUCGUUCUGGGUGCUUGCUGCCCGAAUUCGGUUUGCCGUUUAUCAGUAUCCGGUAAGCCGCUUGCUACAGUAAAAAUUUUCCCCAUAUUUUCAUUUUAACCCCAAAACUUUAUAAAAACUAUAGUAUGGCCCAAAACGUUAUGAAACUUUACAAAUAGGUCCAAUUUUAGAAUUUUUAAGUAAUGCUUCGUUAAUCCCAAAACUUUUUGAAAUUAUGACUUUGCCCAAACUUUGAGAAAUUAUAUAAUGACCCAAAAAACAUUUAAAUAAUUUCAAAUAAGUCCAAAUCCGAAACUUUAAAAACAUUAUCAAAGCUUUUAAAAUACAUGUGGUUUGUUAUCAUCAAAAUCAAUAUUUAUAGCCAUAUAGGCUAACAAUCUCCCCCUUUUUGAUGAUGACAAAACACAUUAAAAAAUUUAAUCUUGUUAUGAAAAAGCUCCCCCUUAAUCAAUGCAAGUUAAAAAAUGAUUUGAAAAUAGUUUAAUAAAAACUCCCCUUGCAUACAUGCUCCCCCUAGAUACAUGCAUAUAUUUUCAUAACACAAAUUAAAUCAUUCUCCCCCUUCAUCAUAAAAAAGAAAAACUUAAUUGGCAAAGACAAAAGUAGCAAUUUUUUAUAAGUUUGAAAACAUGUAUUCUUCUCCCCCUUCAUCAUCAAAAAGAAAACUUAAAGGAAAAGAAUAAAAAUAGCAAAUUUGUUACCCAUGUUGUUCAAGUGGAAAUUUUGAAAGAAUCUCCCCCUAACAACAAGUAUUACCUCAAAUACAAGAUAGUAAUAUUACUCAUAAAUUAUCAUUAUAUCUCAAAAUCAUCAAGUCCUCACCAUAAUCAUAUAUCAUCAAAAUCAUCAAAAGAAUACUCAAAGUGCAUAUUAUUGUCCUCAUUUUGACAAUAUUGAAAUGAUAUAUUAUUUUGUCUCCCCCUUUGGACAACAAAAAAGUUCAAAAUGCAUAUUAUCCAAAAACAUAUUAUAUGUUCCCCCUAAAUAUAUGGCCAAUUAAAAUUUUAACCAAAAUGAUUUUAUCCAAAAACAUAUCACUUUUAUCUCCCCAUUUAUCAUAAAAAAAAGAUAGAUGCAAUUGAAACAAAAGCAUCAAAAAUAAUUCGAUAAAGAUAUUACCAAUUUUGUGCGAGGAAAAAUUUCGGCAGAGUCUUCCCUUAAAAUGCACAAAUCCUCAAAUACACAACAUGAUUAAAAACGCUUCCAUAUAAACUUAAACAAUUAUACCAAACCAACAACUCCAUCCAUUCAUCAAGCGACACAUAUAUAAUUUUCAAAUUCAAUAUGAAUCCAUAUUUAUACCAAAAAGAACAUCUCAAUGAUUAAUCAAGAAGCAUAUAAAAAUAAAGCAUGCAAUUAAUUCAAAGAGUCAUAUUCAUUCUAAGAAUUCAGAAAAAUAUCAUCCAAAUAUAAAUUAUCCAAAUAUUAAACAACCAUCAUCCGUAAUCCACAAUUAAAACAAUUAUGCAUAUGAAAAUAUAGGUGCAUAAUACAACCAUCCACCAUUGUUGGAACAAAAACAAGCUUAAAGAUCCAAUUUCGGGUUUACAAAAAUUGAGUGAAAUGGAUUUGUUUGAGCCAAGAAAAUCGAUCCUAGAGAUGAAUGAAGCUAAUAGAUGAUGUAGAUUGGAUCAAAAAUGGGCUAAAGGAAGCUUGAAAAUAUAGAGAGAGAAACGGGUAGUUAGGUUUUUGAUUUUGGGUUUUAUGUGGAGAGAUGAUGAAAUCAAGUUUUGAGAGUGAAAAUUGAAAGAGUAAUGGAUGAAUAAUGAGUUGGAUGAUUG
RNAcentral lists this long non-coding RNA (6462 nucleotides) under Citrus maxima (pomelo). RNAcentral describes it as "long non-coding RNA (CMAX_LNC000751)". The record is from RNAcentral. Lineage: Eukaryota; Viridiplantae; Streptophyta; Magnoliopsida; Sapindales; Rutaceae.